RNAcentral lists this ribosomal RNA (210 nucleotides) under uncultured bacterium. RNAcentral describes it as "partial 16S ribosomal RNA". It matches the Rfam family "Bacterial small subunit ribosomal RNA", at positions 524 to 732 of the family's 1533-position model. The record is from RNAcentral.
UACGUAGGGUGCGAGCGUUGUCCGGAAUUAUUGGGCGUAAAGAGCUCGUAGGCGGUCUGUCGCGUCGAUCGUGAAAACUUGGGGCUUAACCCUGAGCUUGCGGUCGAUACGGGCAUGACUGGAGUUCGGCAGGGGAGACUGGAAUUCCUGGUGUAGCGGUGAAAUGCGCAGAUAUCAGGAGGAACACCGGUGGCGAAGGCGGGUCUCUGG